GAUGAAGAACGUAGCGAAAUGCGAUACGUAAUGUGAAUUGCAGAUCUCUCAGUGAACCAUCGAAUCUUUGAACGCACAUUGCGCCCAUUGGUAUUCCGAUGGGCAUGCCUGUUCGAGCGUCAUUAUCAACCCUCAAGCCUCCGGCUUGGUGUUGGAGGUCUGGCGGUCCCUGCGGAUCGCCCCUCCCAAAUACAACGACGGCGGCGGCGAGCGUCCCCGGUACACUGAGCUUUUCACCGAGCACGUACUGGAUGGGCCUCGACGUCCCGGUCUGCCUCCCCUCCGGGAGAAUUUUUCUCAAGGUUGACCUCGGAUCAGGUAGGGAUACCCGCUGAACUUAAGCAUAUCAAUAAGCGGAGGA
RNAcentral lists this unclassified non-coding RNA (361 nucleotides) under soil metagenome. RNAcentral describes it as "partial contains 5.8S ribosomal RNA, internal transcribed spacer 2, and large subunit ribosomal RNA". The stretch from base 1 to 122 matches the Rfam family "5.8S ribosomal RNA", at positions 35 to 154 of the family's 154-position model. The record is from RNAcentral.